GGAGGGGGGCAAUACCUUUUUAUGUAAACAUGUUUUGGCUCUUUUCAAGGUGUUGUUAACUGUUAUCUGAGAUAAAUUAAAGCUGUUAACUGUUUUUAACCCACAUUGUCAACUGUUAUCAGCAUUUUUGCAUUUUUGUUAACUGUUUUUGCCAAAAUCGAGGUGCUGUUGACAUGUUAACAGACCCCCUAUUGCCCCUCCU
This 202-nucleotide long non-coding RNA is filed under the name Mytilus galloprovincialis (Mediterranean mussel). Lineage: Eukaryota; Metazoa; Mollusca; Bivalvia; Mytilida; Mytilidae. The record is from RNAcentral.